Molecule: long non-coding RNA, 3545 nt
Organism: Egretta garzetta (little egret)
Lineage: Eukaryota; Metazoa; Chordata; Aves; Pelecaniformes; Ardeidae
Exons: 3
Source: RefSeq, a predicted model, not a curated record
GGCGUCCGCGCUUGAGCCGGCAGCUGCAGAAGCCGCCCCUUAGCACGCUGCCUGCUGUGUUCUCAAAACCCGAGCGCUCACCCAGAAAAGGGAAAACUGACUUGGCAUAGGUGAGGCCAACGGCGUGCCUGUGCAAAGGGACCGGCCAGGAUGGUGAAUCCCACAGGAGCUGAGCAGAGCUGAGCUCCCGUGGGAUCUGCUCUGAUCGCAGAGGAACUGAGCUCCCUUUUAGUCUGGGAUAGACGGCAUUUCCUUGAAAAACAAAUACAGAUGUCCUGCAGCAUAACUGAUGUGGGAGCUCUGACUGUUGUGGACAGUUCAGUGUCGGAGACCAUUUCAGGGCUGUCUCACACCGGAGCUGCUAGUCUUGCAAAUAAUCCUAACUUUCCGAAACCAACUAUGUAGCAAGCGUCCUGUGGCAUGUUUAAUUGUUACCCAAAAGAGACUAACUCAAAAUAACUAAUGGGGAUUACUUGGAACAAGAGUUACUGGCAUCAGACUUAGUUGUAGCUGAAGUUGGGUACGGCUGAAGCUUACUCUGUGUGGAGCUACUGUUUCUCUGCCAUCACUAUAAUUUCUUUUAAAAUACUGAUGGUUAUUAUGCUUCUGUUUUGUCACUGCUUAGGUUAAGUUACUUUUUGCUGCUGCUUACAAAAAGUCUGUAUAGAACUGUAUAGCCUGUGUUCCCCUUAAGAUCCCUGCCUGCAUAACAAAAUACAGUUCAGUGGCAAAUGAAGUAACAAGAUAGUAUUUAACAUAUGAUAACUUCUAAUAUUUCACGUUAGUAUUGCUCAGAACUGAAAGAAUUAAUGUUUUCACAACAAAAAAUUCUAAAAUACUCUGUGUGUGAACAAAAACCACCAAUUGGGUGAUUGGAUACCUUCCGUUCUGGAUACCUACAUUACUAAAUCCUCAACAGAAUUUUUUGAUUUUCAGUAGCAUUUCUUAUGCCUGUCUGCACUGAUGCUGGAGCAAACACUGGGGCGUUUAGGGAAAGUUAAAACUGUAAAUUUUAAGGCAGUUGGAAAUGACAGCUAAAGAAAAUACUAAGCCUCAGCAGUUUGUCCUUUUCCUGUGCUGCUCCCCACCCCCUGUGGGUUUAGGGAAGGAACUGUAAAUGAUAUUUCCUUUCCACUGUUUUCAGUGCAGUGAUCAUAAAUGGAUUUCACCUUCUAAUGCUCUCUAGGAAUUUGCUUGCUAUUGGAGGACAGAUCUGGCUUUGUAGUAAAUUUAAAUGGGAUGUGUGGUAAGUGUAGAUCGACUGCUUGAAACCUGCUAUGAAGAAAGGUGGGAGGAAGUAGAAUGUUUCUACUUGAACUGCAAAGAAAAGGGGUGGUAAAGAUAUUUCCAUCGGAUCCGCUGGAAAUGCACCAACAGCUUGAGCUUUUGUCUAAAAGUGAUGUUUAAACUAGAAUCCUAGCAGAUUCCACAGGGAGAAAACCCGUGAAGCCCAGUGAAAUACAGCUCAAACUCCAUAACAGUAUGAGAUGGGAAAUCUUGCUGAAGUCAGUGUGUCACACUCUGUGGAGUCCACAGUCUGAUGCAGGUCAGUCACACCAGCAAGAAACAGCAAGGGACGCAAGGCCACCUCUUGAAAGAAGGGGUGAGUUGGCAUCUGGAAGGCUUGCAGAGCAGUAGGAGGAACACAGCUUCCAGAUCUUUUCAAAUGCAGAAUUGUGAACUUUAACUUUGCAUUUACUGAAAAGUAAAGCUUGAUAAAAUAGGGUUUCCCAUACCAAUUUCCUUUUUUUUAAGGAUCUGUAUUUUAUACUAAGAAAAAGACAGUCUUUAGUUACUGCUAGGUAAUUGCUAGCAGGUAGGGAUGCUUUGUCAUCUCUGUCAUUCUUUUAAGGAGCACUGUACUUCAAAUGCUCAUCUCUUGUACUUCUUGAGGUUUACAUGUUAUAUCAAUUGUAAUCAAUUUUGCCUUUGCAGAAAAAGUACAUCAUAUGCCCAUUUAUUACUUACUAAUAAGCUGAAGGAUAAGAUGCUGUUGAAAGACUAUUAAAUACUGUUCUGCAUGCAGAUUAGACAAAUGAUCAAAGUGCAGUUUAAGAUUCAGGUAUGGAAUGCAGGAAAACAAAUGUUUUCGGGUCUUUUAAAGGCUGUCUGCCUUUAAUUUUGUUCUUCAUUUCUUUUAUACAACCAUACCAAAAUACUUCAUUAGUGAUUGUGUGUUACUUCUGUGUAUAUGUUUUUGUUUAUAAGGUCAUUUACAGACUUAACCAUGAACUAAUGAAGAAUUUGUACUGUAAAUCAAAUUUAAAAAUCUUGAUUUAAAUGCUCUAAACGUGGAAGAUAGCUCAGUUACUUGAGAAAAAAGACUAAAUAAACAUUUGAAUUAUCUGCGCUUUAGCAGCACCUUCUGUUUCUACUAAAUUUUUUAGCUUAACAUUAUAGCAGUUAGAUUAUGUCCUUUCUGUUGCAGACGUCAUCUUCAAUGUCUUUGCUUGCUCAUUCUUUUCUAGAGUGAAACUUCAACCCCUGCUUAGUAGUCUAGCCCAAAUGUGGAAAGUGCCAAACUUCUUAAUAUGAGGUUGAUCUUUAUGAAGCAAGUUUAAAACUUGCACGUGCCUGGAGAUGAUACCCACCCAUAGAAAUGCAGCAGUUCCUUGAUGACUAGUCCUUCCUUACCUCCUUCUCUGCUGUCUUCUCUGUUGCCUGCAAGUAGAAAUAACUCAGCAGAGUGAACGUCGGAAGAAGCCUGAUUUGAAAAUAAGGCUCCUGACUGGAUGGAUGACUGUGGCCUGAUACAGAAAUGGAAUGGCAGACCACAUGGGUUGGGCUGGAUGAGGGCAAAUUCAAGAUGAGUCUUACAUUUUUUUGCAUAGGCAAACUUCUACACCUUGGUGGGAAACUUAACUGUCAUAUUUCUAUUCCAGAAGUAAGAUGCUCUCAAUACUCUAGUUCUAAGAAUCUAAAGCAUAGUUAAUCAAAAUAGGAAGUUAUUUAAUGGCUUAUCCUACUGCCCUCUCUCCCGCCAAAGCAAGUGUAGAAACACAGGUCAGCUUGAUCGUGUCGGACACAGAUGUCACUACACAGUAGUGCAAGUGAUUCUUCAUUGGGUCAAGAGAAGAGCUUUUCAGGAAAACUGGCACUAAGUACUGAAAUGUGCUUUCUUUUCAGUUUAUAACUUGUGGGUUUUUUUCUACCUCAUUGAGACAACCAAGAAAUAACAUUUCUUGUUGCGUCCUGUGGUGCUUACCUAUUUAAUUGUUGUAGAAAUGAAUCCUUAAUCCUACUCCAGGGGUUGCAAACCUUUGCAACUCAAGAAGGUGGCGAUUUGUUUUCUUUUGCUGUGCUUCUCUCCUGUGCUUUAGGAAUCCUUACAAAACGGUCACGAAUAUACCCGUUUAAGUGGUAGGCUUCACAGUAUGUCCAGCACACAAGUCCAGGUUUUAAAGACUCUGUUUUUUGCAGCGUAGCUGUUUGCUGGAAAGGAAAAUGAGUUAGAAGCUGCCUCAUCUCAUUGAGAACAUGGAGAUAAGCAGCUUUCUUGUGUGUUGGAACUCGAGUUGCUUAUGAUCCAAACUUAGUAGUUCUAC